GACGAACGCUGGCGGCGUGCUUAACACAUGCAAGUCGAACGGAAAGGCCCUGCUCUUGCGGGGCUCUCGAGUGGCGAACGGGUGAGUAACACGCGAGUAACCUGCCCCUGACUUUGGGAUAACUUCAGGAAACUGGGGCUAAUACCGGAUAGGAGCUCUUGCUGCAUGGUGGGGGUUGGAAAGUUUCGGCGGUGGGGGAUGGACUCGCGGCUUAUCAGCUUGUUGGGGGGGUAGUGGCUUACCAAGGCUGUGACGGGUAGCCGGCCUGAGAGGGGGGCCGGGCACAUUAGGACUGAGAGACGGCCCAGACUCGUACGGGAGGCAGCGGUGGAGAGUAUUGCAGAAUGGGCGGAAGCCUGAGGCAACAACGCCGCGUGCGGGAUGACGGGCUUCGGGUUGUAAACCGCUUUCGCCUGUGACGAAGCGGGAGUGACGGUAAUGGGUAAAGAAGCACCGGCUAACUACGUG
This 468-nucleotide ribosomal RNA is filed under the name uncultured bacterium. RNAcentral describes it as "partial 16S ribosomal RNA". It matches the Rfam family "Bacterial small subunit ribosomal RNA", at positions 28 to 507 of the family's 1533-position model. The record is from RNAcentral.